UGCUGUGAAACUGGGGGCUCAACCCCCAGCUGCAGUGGGUACGGGCAGACUAGAGUGCGGUAGGGGAGAUUGGAAUUCCUGGUGUAGCGGUGGAAUGCGCAGAUAUCAGGAGGAACACCGAUGGCGAAGGCAGAUCUCUGGGCCGAACUGACGCUGAGGAGCGAAAGGGUGGGGAGCAAACAGGCUUAGAUACCCUGGUAGUCCACCCCGUAAACGUUGGGAACUAGUUGUGGGGCCGUGACGCAGCUAACGCAUUAAGUUCCCCGCCUGGGGAGUACGGCCGCAAGGCUAAAACUCAAAGGAAUUGACGGGGACCCGCACAAGCGGCGGAGCAUGCGGAUUAAUUCGAUGCAACGCGAAGAACCUUACCAAGGCUUGACAUACAGGUGGUGCAUGGUUGUCGUCAGCUCGUGUCGUGAGAUGUUGGGUUAAGUCCCGCAACGAGCGCAACCCUCGUUCUAUGUUGCAACUCAUGGGAUACUGCCGGGGUCAACUCGGAGGAAGGUGGGGAUGACGUCAAAUCAUCAUGCCCUUAUGUCUUGGGCUUCACGCAUGCUACAAUGGCCGGUACAAAGGGCUGCAAUACCGUAAGGUGGAGCGAAUCCCAAAAAGCCGGUCCCAGUUCGGAUUGAGGUCUGCAACUCGACCUCAUGAAGUCGGAGUCGCUAGUAAUCGCAGAUCAGCACGCUGCGGUGAAUACGUUCCCGGGUCUUGCACACACCGCCCGUC
Molecule: ribosomal RNA, 729 nt
Filed under: uncultured bacterium
Lineage: Bacteria
Description: bacterial SSU rRNA
Rfam family: Bacterial small subunit ribosomal RNA
Source: RNAcentral